AUGAACGCUAGCUACAGGCUUAACACAUGCAAGUCGAGGGGCAGCAUGAAUCAAGCUUGCUUGAUUUGAUGGCGACCGGCGCACGGGUGCGUAACACGUAUCCAAUCUACCCAUGGCUCAGGGAUAGCCUUUCGAAAGAAAGAUUAAUACCUGAUGGUUUCAUGAGCCCGCAUGGACUUAUGAAUAAAGAUUUAUCGGCGAUGGAUGAGGAUGCGUCCGAUUAGAUAGUAGGCGGGGUAACGGCCCACCUAGUCGACGAUCGGUAGGGGCUCUGAGAGGAGGAUCCCCCACAUUGGAACUGAGACACGGUCCAAACUCCUACGGGAGGCAGCAGUGAGGAAUAUUGGUCAAUGGGCGAGAGCCUGAACCAGCCAAGUAGCGUGAGGGAAUGACUGCCCUAUGGGUUGUAAACCUCUUUUGUUUGGGAAUAAAGUGAGCCACGUGUGGCUUUUUGUAUGUACCUUACGAAUAAGCAUCGGCUAAUUCCGUGCCAGCAGCUGC
RNAcentral lists this ribosomal RNA (501 nucleotides) under uncultured bacterium. RNAcentral describes it as "bacterial SSU rRNA". It matches the Rfam family "Bacterial small subunit ribosomal RNA", at positions 29 to 518 of the family's 1533-position model. The record is from RNAcentral.